AAAGGAAAUCUGAUGUUCUUCAUUAGCUUUGCAGCAUACUCCAUUCGAGGCUCUUCAAACCGCAGCCAGCGACAAGCCGCCUUGAAGAGUUCAAGUUCAGUGCAGUGCUUAAGGCUAUUACUUGAAAGCACAAAGGCAAGACGUUCAAAGGGGAGUUUCACAAAUUCACCAGUACUUAAUAAUGCAGGGAAGUUCUUUAGGAUGAAAUUAUUAACAUAUUUAUCCACUUCUGUGAGAUUGUAUGUGUUGGCAAUUCGCCCAACCUCAACACAGUUUUCCAAGGAAACCCCAGAGAUAAGAAACACUUUACAGAAGUCCAAAA
This 322-nucleotide long non-coding RNA is filed under the name Gallus gallus (chicken). The record is from RNAcentral. Lineage: Eukaryota; Metazoa; Chordata; Aves; Galliformes; Phasianidae.